UACGUAGGGGGCGAGCGUUGUCCGGAAUUAUUGGGCGUAAAGGGCGUGUAGGCGGUUCGGUAAGUCUGCUGUGAAAUCUUGGGGCUCAACCCUGAGCGUGCAGCGGAUACUGCCGGGCUAGAGGGUGGUAGAGGCGGGUGGAAUUUCGAGUGUAGCGGUGAAAUGCACAGAUAUGCGGUGGAACACCAGUAGCGAAGGCGGCUCGCUGGGCCUCUCCUGACGCUGAGACGCGAAAGCGUGGGGAGCGAACAGG
This 253-nucleotide ribosomal RNA is filed under the name uncultured bacterium. Its description in RNAcentral is "partial 16S ribosomal RNA". It matches the Rfam family "Bacterial small subunit ribosomal RNA", at positions 524 to 776 of the family's 1533-position model. The record is from RNAcentral.